GUCUUGUUUGAAAGUACUUUGCAAUUCACGAGCAUAUAAAGAAGGUUACUUUUUUCUUCCCCAAAAAUAGCCCACUCUGUAAGUGCGUGUACCUGGCGAAAUUUAGUUAGACACUGCAUAAUCUACCAGUGUCCCUUAUUAAUGGGGCACUAGACAUCAAGACAUGGAGAGUACUCAUUUAAGAUUUUUCUUUUGAAAGCGAUGCUGUUUCUCCCCUAUUUGAAUUUGCCAAAUGUUAGGAAAGAAAAGCAAAAGCCAGAACCCCAUUCGUGAAUCCUACGCGUCAAUCAGGGCUGAGUUGGUUCAAUAGCCAAUCCAGACGCUGCGCGGGCAAUUUGAAAAUUAGCUACCGGUUUCUUUGACUAGUUGGGAGACUGAGGCGGGGCUGUUGGUGGGGGACCUUUACCAGUCAACCCAUCCUUUACUUUGUGGAAUUCACUCUCUAGGACAAGUUGGUUCCUGCUCUCCUUUCUUGGUGUGGUCCACAUGAUGCUUUCUUUCUCUGUCACUCUCACUUCAUAUGUCUCUACUAAGUGGAAUAAAUUUGAAAAGGAAAGGAGAAAGAAGAGCCGUUCCACUAUCCCUCAACCCAGACUGCCUCUGGACAGUUUUAUUUGCCGAAAGUUUAAUGAUAACUUUUAUUCAGUUAGUGUACUCCAGUAACUUAACUAAUUGAUUUAUGGGUGUUUAAGUGAGAAUAUUCUGCUCACGUGCAACAGGAAACAUACAAGAAUAGAGCAACAAUAUUAACAGCGAGCUCGUGUUUACGGUAAAAAGGAUAAACUCUAAGAUUGAGGUAUGUUCACAGGAUGCUUAUCAUACAGAGGAACGUCAGUAUUAGCUUCAUGAUAGCAUUUUAUAAAUGUAAAAAAAAAUGAUAUCACUUUUUUAGAGGUUAAAAAAAACACCCCAAAUUAUAUAGUGUUUAAGUGUAUUUAGAAGCAUGUAUAUGAUAAUAAACUUUUAAAAGGAGACAUUCAUAAAUAUAUUUUUUAAAAUAUCCAGCAGUGGCCCCUGGUAAUAAAAACAGGGAAGUGGAAUGGGGAAAGCCACAGAGGUAAGGACAAAUAGCUGCAAGCAUUUUAUUUUGGAGGUUAGAAGUUUGGCCUGUGUGUUUGAUAUAAUUUGCUUGCUUUAUACUUUACAUGUAUAUUAUCUAUGUUCCCUUCAUGUAUCAAAUAUUGUACUGCAGAUAGUGAAAGUAAACAUGUAAAAAUAACUUCCAAGCCAUGUAACUUGUAUUCAGAAAAAUGUGUAAAUGAGAACCCUGUACUUAGUAGUGCUUCUCCAGAUUUUAUUUCUUUUAGAGAGAAGGAAAGGGAAAAGAAGACUGACAGACCAUUAAAAAGGCCCAUGGAUUCAGUAAGCUCAUUCUUUUGGUUAACAUUCAUUCAGCAUCCAACCUCCAGAUAUCUUUGCUCCUGAUUCUGCAGACUUCUAGGAAGUUCUUGGGGGAUCCUGGUGGGACUUCAGUUGGUUUCUUCACAUUAUUUGAUGUAUUGAAUCUGCAUGUAGCACAAAACUGGUAGAAUUCAUGCUUCAUGAAAUUCAGCUAAUGAAAUGCUCUUUCCCCUGCUUCAGCAGCUACCUAAAUCCCCAGUGAGCCUCCAAAGCUGGCUGUAGUCUGUUUCCCGCUGGAGCCUGGAGAAUAAGGCCUGGGUAAAACUAGACUUCCUUUAGUUCCUCCAGCUCUUGUAAACCUCACAUCUGCACAGCCUCUCCCAGAAUCUCCGUGCCAUCUCUCUGUGGUGUCUAUGUGCAUAGGUAUUUUGUAUGUCAUACAUUACAGGUGUGGGUGUGCAUCCCUCC
RNAcentral lists this long non-coding RNA (1809 nucleotides) under Marmota monax (woodchuck). Lineage: Eukaryota; Metazoa; Chordata; Mammalia; Rodentia; Sciuridae. The record is from RNAcentral.